Molecule: long non-coding RNA, 469 nt
Organism: Phymastichus coffea
Lineage: Eukaryota; Metazoa; Arthropoda; Insecta; Hymenoptera; Eulophidae
Exons: 4
Source: RefSeq, a predicted model, not a curated record
UGCAAGGCCAAUGGAAUGAUUUUUUCUCAGUAGAUCAUAACCAAGGAAAUGAAUCUCAUGAGGUCGAUGGUGUACCAAUUUUGAAACAGAAGGAUUUAAAUAAAGAAGAAGACGCUGCACUACCUAUACUUUUUGACAGAUGAAGAGGAACAUCGCCAAAAAGUAUCUGCUGAAGAAGAUGAAGUACAUAAAUUAACAAAUUUUGAUUUACAUGAAACUAAUGUAAAGAAGGAUAAGCAUCCAGCAGGUCGUGGUAACAAACCUAUAAUAAUCGAAGAAAUUGACUUAAUCAAACAAACUAAUUUAUUGAACAAAAAAGAUAAGUAGAUUUCAGAAUUAAAAUAUGAACUCAAAUGUUUAGACAGAAAAUAUCAAAAUUUAAAAAAUGAUUUCAAGGAUAUAAAAAAAGAAAACAAUGAUUUGCGAGAAAAAUUUUUAAACUACAAGAUAAUAUUACGCAUGAUAUAAU